UAGGGAAUCUUCCACAAUGGACGAAAAGUCUGAUGGAGCAACGCCGCGUGAGUGAAGAAGGUUUUCGGAUCGUAAAGCUCUGUUGUUGGUGAAGAAGGAUAGAGGCAGUAACUGGUCUUUAUUUGACGGUAAUCAACCAGAAAGUCACGGCUAACUACGUGUCAG
RNAcentral lists this ribosomal RNA (165 nucleotides) under uncultured bacterium. RNAcentral's name for it is "partial 16S rRNA". It matches the Rfam family "Bacterial small subunit ribosomal RNA", at positions 355 to 511 of the family's 1533-position model. The record is from RNAcentral.